GAUGAACGCUGGCGGCGUGCCUAAUACAUGCAAGUCGAGCGAACGGACGAGAAGCUUGCUUCUCUGAUGUUAGCGGCGGACGGGUGAGUAACACGUGGAUAACCUACCUCUAAGACUGGGAUAACUUCGGGAAACCGUAGCUACUACCGGAUAAUAUUUUGCACCGCAUGGUUCCAAAGUGAAAGACGGUCUUGCUGUCACUUAUAGCUGGCUCCGCGCUGCAUUAGCUAGUUGGUAAGGUAACGGCUUACCAAGGCAAGGAUGCAUAGCCGACCUGAGAGGGAGAUCGACUACACUGGAACUGAGACAGAGUCCAGACACCGACGGGAGGCAACAGUAGGGAAUCUUCCGCAAUGGACGAAAGGCUGACCGAGCAACGCCGCGGGAGUGAUGACGGUCUUCGGAUGGUUGAACGCUGUUAGUAGUAAGGAAGAUAUGUGUAAGUAACUGUGCAGAUCUUGACGGUACCUAAUCAGAAAGCCACGGCUAACUACGUG
RNAcentral lists this ribosomal RNA (497 nucleotides) under uncultured bacterium. RNAcentral's name for it is "partial 16S ribosomal RNA". It matches the Rfam family "Bacterial small subunit ribosomal RNA", at positions 28 to 507 of the family's 1533-position model. The record is from RNAcentral.